UAAGUGUUCAGCUCUACUAAAUUAACUUAUCAGUAUACCUCGAUUUUUGUGUUUAUUGCUGAAUGAUUACUGCAUUUAUUUCAGUUACGAUUGUGGCUUUCAUGUUUUAUUGUAUAUUGAAGAAUUCAUGAAGGAGAAGAUGUAUAAAAUCAACAGAAAAAUGGUGUUGAAAUUCAUAAAGCAGCUUUGCAUGAAUCUUCUGUACCAUCUUUUGAACAGAAUAAAUCUUGUGGAAUU
Molecule: long non-coding RNA, 237 nt
Organism: Panicum virgatum (switchgrass)
Lineage: Eukaryota; Viridiplantae; Streptophyta; Magnoliopsida; Poales; Poaceae
Exons: 2
Source: RefSeq, a predicted model, not a curated record